This 667-nucleotide ribosomal RNA is filed under the name Sticta sp. TW-2018g. RNAcentral describes it as "SSU rRNA". It matches the Rfam family "Bacterial small subunit ribosomal RNA", at positions 407 to 1087 of the family's 1533-position model. Lineage: Eukaryota; Fungi; Ascomycota; Lecanoromycetes; Peltigerales; Lobariaceae. The record is from RNAcentral.
GUAGUUACUACUUGGUAGUUUAANUUUCUAGGUAGAAUUAUGAUGAUGACAUNAUCUAUCUAUUAGUCUUGACCAAAUNACGUGCCAGCAGUCGCGGUAAUACGUAGAAGACAAGUGUUAUUCAUCUUUAUUAGGUUUAAAGAGUACCAAGACGGUUAAUAAAGCCCAAAAUAAAUGAAUACGGGGGACACAUUAACUAGAGUUAUAUGAAAGGAAGCUCUAAGGUACUGUUGAGUGUAGAGAUGAAAUUUAAUUAUACCAGAUGAUUGGCACAGAUUUAUGCGAAGGCAUCUUCUUAUGUAAUAACUGACGUUGUAGGACGAAGGCUUGGGAAGUGAACAGGAUUAGGUACCCCAGUAAUCUAGGCAGAAAAUGAUGAAUGUCAUAGGUUCAAUACAGACAGGUUAAAUUGACUAUCUANUAGUAAAUAGGUGCUAUAUUAAUCAGUCUAUUGUGUCUAUAAAUGAAAGUGUAAGCAUUCCACCUCAAGAGUAAUUUGGCAACAUUGGAACUGAAAUCAUUAGACCGUUUCUGAAACCAGUAGUGAAGUAUGUUGUUUAAUUAGAUGAUACACAAAAACCUUACCACAAUUUGAAUAUAUAUAAAAUAUAUUUACAUGCGCUGCACGGCUGUCUACAGUUAAUGUCGUGAGACUUUGGUUAGCUCC